GCCAGCGUGGUGUAGUGGUUUGAGUGUUGGACUAUGACUCUGGAGAUCAGGAUUCGAAUCCCCGCUCGGCCA
Molecule: non-coding RNA, 72 nt
Organism: Phrynosoma platyrhinos (Desert horned lizard)
Lineage: Eukaryota; Metazoa; Chordata; Lepidosauria; Squamata; Phrynosomatidae
Source: the annotation of a GenBank genome assembly